CAGUAGCCGCGGGAACACAGAGGGUGCGAGCGUUAAUCGGAUUUACUGGGCGUAAAGCGUGCGUAGGCGGCUAAUUGAGUCGGAUGUGAAAUCCCCGAGCUUAACUUGGGAAUUGCAUUCGAUACUGGUUAGCUAGAGUGUGGGAGAGGAUGGUAGAAUUCCAGGUGUAGCGGUGAAAUGCGUAGAGAUCUGGAGGAAUACCGAUGGCGAAGGCAGCCAUCUGGCCUAACACUGACGCUGAGGUACGAAAGCAUGGGGAGCAAACAGGAUUAGAUACCCCCGUAGUCCCUGUCUCUUAUAC
RNAcentral lists this ribosomal RNA (301 nucleotides) under uncultured bacterium. RNAcentral describes it as "partial 16S ribosomal RNA". It matches the Rfam family "Bacterial small subunit ribosomal RNA", at positions 509 to 807 of the family's 1533-position model. The record is from RNAcentral.